This is a long non-coding RNA of Trachemys scripta elegans, 328 nucleotides long. RefSeq lists it as uncharacterized. Lineage: Eukaryota; Metazoa; Chordata; Testudines; Emydidae. The record is from RefSeq and is a predicted model, not a curated record. The transcript has 3 exons.
UCAUCUAACCUGGAGAUUGGUCCCAACUUCCCAUUGCCUGUGCAAGCCUUCCCAAUCUAUAAAAUCAGAGGGAAGAAGACUCACCAUUUUCAGGGCAGCAUAAAUUCUUGUGGUUACCUUCCUCAACGCCUGCUUUGAAUGGAGAUUUAUCCUUAUUUUGCAGAGCAAAGGAAAAUACCCUUCAACUGUGACUUCUUCAUACAGAAGAAGAUCCAUACUGCAACACCAAAAUUACAGUUUUGCAGGCCAGGAGAGCUUUGAAGCCUAUAUCACAUUCUACAUUCUUUGAAGACUAGAACACAUUCUACUGAUUUCUUUUCUCCUCCUU